Molecule: unclassified non-coding RNA, 231 nt
Filed under: Hevea brasiliensis (rubber tree)
Lineage: Eukaryota; Viridiplantae; Streptophyta; Magnoliopsida; Malpighiales; Euphorbiaceae
Source: RNAcentral
CAUCAGCAAUGAAUAAAGGUACCACAAGUCUGAAUCAGAAGAAAAUCAAAACCUGAGUUACAGCUACAGCAAAUUGUUAGAAUCACUUACCUACCCAUGUCUUAAUGAGCAUAAUCAGUUCCCCACCCAUGUCCUAAUAAGAAUAAUCAGUUGCUUACCCAUGUGCCAAUAAGCAUAAACCUUAUUUGAGCAUAUUGUAUGACGGCGGUAGAAAGCACACUCGUACACAAC